AAUAAAUGCAGCCAUAGAUAUCCGUGUUUAGCACUUUGACCAUCCGUCUUAUUUAAAAAAUUUAUUAAAAAUAUUAAAAAAUUAGUCACACAUAAAGUACUAUUCAUGUUUUAUCAUUUAAUAACAAUAAAAAUACUAAUCAUAAUCUUUUUUCAAAUAAGACGAACGGUCAAACGUUGAACAUGAACAGUGCUAAAACUGCACUUAUU
RNAcentral lists this microRNA precursor (209 nucleotides) under Oryza rufipogon (brownbeard rice). Its description in RNAcentral is "MIR812 microRNA precursor family". It matches the Rfam family "MIR812 microRNA precursor family". The record is from Rfam by way of RNAcentral. Lineage: Eukaryota; Viridiplantae; Streptophyta; Magnoliopsida; Poales; Poaceae.